CCUACGGGGUGCAGCAGUGGGGAAUUUUGGACAAUGGGGGCAACCCUGAUCCAGCCAUUCCGCGCGAGUGGAGAAGGCCUUCGGGUUGUAAAGCUCUUUUGUCCGGAACGAAACGGCUAGCGUGAAUAUCGCUGGCUACUGACGGUACCGGAAGAAUAAGCACCGGCUAACUACGUGCCAGCAGCCGCGGUAAUACGUAGGGUGCGAGCGUUAAUCGGAAUUACUGGGCGUAAAGCGUGCGCAGGCGGUUUUGUAAGCCAGAUGUGAAAUCCCCGGGCUUAACCUGGGAAUGGCAUUUGGGACUGCAAGGCUGGAGUUUGGCAGAGGAGACUGGAAUUCCCGGUGUAGCAGUGAAAUGCGUAGAUAUCGGGAGGAAUACCGAUGGCGAAGGCAGGUCUCUGGGCUAUAACUGACGCUCAUGCACGAAAGCGUGGGGAGCAAACAGGAUUAGAUACCCGCGUAGUC
RNAcentral lists this ribosomal RNA (465 nucleotides) under uncultured bacterium. RNAcentral describes it as "bacterial SSU rRNA". It matches the Rfam family "Bacterial small subunit ribosomal RNA", at positions 338 to 795 of the family's 1533-position model. The record is from RNAcentral.